This 1005-nucleotide long non-coding RNA is filed under the name Coturnix japonica (Japanese quail). Its description in RNAcentral is "lncRNA (ENSCJPG00005000293.1)". The record is from RNAcentral. Lineage: Eukaryota; Metazoa; Chordata; Aves; Galliformes; Phasianidae.
CAGAUAUAUUCAGCAAUGUUCUUUUCACUAUAUAUUUUGUUUAACUCUAUGGAUUAAUCAUUAAAAAUGUACUGUCCCACUAUGAUUGGCCAGAUGUGCCACAUGACAACAGUAUUCUUCUGUGAGCAUCUGAGGAUGCCAGCACUUCUGGAGUAGUCCUUAUGCAUGCAAAAUUGAAAAUUCAGUUUUGACAAAUAUUUGCAAGUGCAUCUUUAGAAUUCACUUGCUGCCAAGAAAACUGUCAGUAAAAUUCAGCAGUUCUUAAAUUUGUAAAAUGUGAGAACUAAAACAUGCAUUUUAACAUUUGCAUUUAACUUAAUUAAUUUUUUUCCCCCAGUUUUAUCUGGAACUUUUAGAAGAAUGUAUCUCCCCUUAAAGGCUGCAGUGCUGCCCACUCUGAUGGAGUUACAUUUCCAAGCUACUGCUCCUGCUGUCGCACAGCUCUCCAGCUAUCUGCUUUCCUAAAGGAUGGCCUUUUUCUAAAUGGGCAAAUGCUUCAUGAAUUGUAUGGAAGCUUUCAAAAGUCAGGAGGUUUGCCCUGAUGGAUGAUACGUGCAUUGUUCCUGCAUUAAACAUUCCCUCAAUUAUUGAACUGUUCCUGUUGCACUGUUAGGAAAAAAAUGGAUUUGAGAACAACUCACUGAAUGCAUCCAUGAUGAUGAACGGUGCAAAGAACCACAGAUGUGGAAAAGAAGUUCCUGUGGUGGCCCAUUUCCUAGCAAGGUACAGUCCUAUUGCUCCUCAUCUCUUUCCAUUUCUCAUGCUUAAUUUAGUUUUCAUUGGAUCGUUGUUGGUGUUUUUUUAAUAUUUAUUACUCAUGGUUGAAACAUGUCAAACUUGACAAAACUUUAAGCAGAGGGAAGGAUAAAAAGUGUCUUGAAAAUCCUAUUUGCCCCUUAAUAAUUUAAUUCUGCAGAAAGGGAAAUCAAAGCAUCACAAAUUGAUUGCUAUGAAACAAAUUACAAUUAUUUCCACACAUCCAAAUAAAUGUACUAAUUUUAGGCA